This 408-nucleotide transfer-messenger RNA is filed under the name Patescibacteria group. Its description in RNAcentral is "UBA10009 sp001001205 Standard tmRNA". It matches the Rfam family "transfer-messenger RNA". From Rfam's summary of the family: Bacterial tmRNA, also known as 10Sa RNA or SsrA, is named for its dual tRNA and mRNA-like properties. Its role is to liberate the mRNA from a stalled ribosome. To accomplish this part of the tmRNA is used as a reading frame that ends in a translation stop signal. RNAcentral also lists the same sequence under 3 other names. The record is from RNAcentral.
GGGGAUGUUUUAAUUUGCUCGUUUACAUUAAAAUCAAAAUAGCUGGAAGAAGUCGCAGGAACUUCUGUUGGGCUCAGGCCCGACCAAAACUUGCACCUUGGAUAAAUGCCAAGAACAUUUUAGCUAAAGUUAAGAGCGCUUUCAGCGUUCCGACUUUUGCUUCCGUUGUAGCUUAAAAUAAGCCGCAACCAUCCAACUUAGUGAUUUCUGAUGGCUAAGGCGGGUGUCAUAUUAUCAGAAUAGAUAAUUGCAGAGCCUUAAUGUAAUUGUCAAAACCACCUUAUAGGCGUAGGUCUUUGGGGAUUUUUCCUUUUUCAUCUCUCUGACCGAAUCAUUAAAAGGAAUAUUCCAGUAGAAGUUUUAAUUUUGUGUAACCAGACGUGGGUGCAAGACCCACCAUCUCCACCA